Molecule: transfer RNA, 84 nt
Filed under: Sphingomonas kaistensis
Lineage: Bacteria; Pseudomonadati; Pseudomonadota; Alphaproteobacteria; Sphingomonadales; Sphingomonadaceae
Also listed under: 5 other names
Description: tRNA-Leu
Rfam family: tRNA
About the family: Transfer RNA (tRNA) molecules are approximately 80 nucleotides in length. Their secondary structure includes four short double-helical elements and three loops (D, anti-codon, and T loops).
Source: RNAcentral
GCCCCCGUGGCGGAAUGGUAGACGCGACCGACUCAAAAUCGGUUGUCGAGAGACGUGUCCGUUCGAGUCGGACCGGGGGCACCA